Non-coding RNA from Pelobates cultripes (western spadefoot toad), 510 nucleotides. The record is from the annotation of a GenBank genome assembly. NCBI's taxonomy places the organism in Eukaryota, Metazoa, Chordata, Amphibia, Anura, Pelobatidae.
CUUGUCUGCCUGCCCUAUCAUUCAUCUUCAAUUUAUAUCUCCCUAUAUUUUAGGUAUGUAGCUUAUGUACCAAUGAAUGCGUUCUCUGUAGACCUAUGUAUUGGGGUGUCACCAUAUAAAUAUACACAUGCAUACUGACUGACUAACUCCCAAUAUAUAAUAUUUGUGAAUGUUGUUGUGUUUGAAGCUUUUUAUUUCUGUUUCUUUUGUAGAAACAGGUAUGGAUUUGUGUCUAUCCCUGAGUGAGCGUAGGUGAUUAAUUAGUGGUUGAGUCAUAUUGAUUGAGUCAUCUAGGAGUAUCCCGAAAUCCUGGCCCGUCAGUGCCCUUUUAGGAAUGGGUUGGAAACUCUGCUGGAAGACCAUGUGUAAAGUGUUUAUGAUUCAAUGAAUUGAAGCAACAAUGCAGUCAGUUGAUAAAGUCGAUUUGCAUGGAAAUGUAGUGAGUGUGGUACGUGGGCUGGACACUGCCCCUUUAACUGUCAUCAGGGAAACUCAAAGCACCAUCUUGUC